RNAcentral lists this ribosomal RNA (171 nucleotides) under uncultured bacterium. RNAcentral's name for it is "partial 16S ribosomal RNA". It matches the Rfam family "Bacterial small subunit ribosomal RNA", at positions 1330 to 1500 of the family's 1533-position model. The record is from RNAcentral.
AAUCGCUAGUAAUCGCGAAUCAGAAUGUCGCGGUGAAUACGUUCCCGGGUCUUGUACACACCGCCCGUCACACCAUGGGAGUCGGAAAUGCCCGAAGUCAGUGACCCAACCGUAAGGAGGGAGCUGCCGAAGGUGGAGCCGGUAACUGGGGUGAAGUCGUAACAAGGUAUC